UGGGGAAUAUUGGACAAUGGGCGAAAGCCUGAUCCAGCCAUGCCGCGUGUGUGAAGAAGGUCUUCGGAUUGUAAAGCACUUUAAGUUGGGAGGAAGGGCAGUAAGCGAAUACCUUGCUGUUUUGACGUUACCGACAGAAUAAGCACCGGCUAACUCUGUGCCAGCAGCCGCGGCAAUACAGAGGGUGCAAGCGUUAAUCGGAAUUACUGGGCGUAAAGCGCGCGUAGGUGGUUCGUUAAGUUGAAUGUGAAAGCCCCGGGCUCAACCUGGGAACUGCAUCCAAAACUGGCGAGCUAGAGUAGGGCAGAGGGUGGUGGAAUUUCCUGUGUAGCGGUGAAAUGCGUAGAUAUAGGAAGGAACACCAGUGGCGAAGGCGACCAACUGGGCUCAUACUGACACUGAGGUGCGAAAGCGUGGGGAGCAAACAGG
Molecule: ribosomal RNA, 429 nt
Filed under: Pseudomonadota bacterium
Lineage: Bacteria; Pseudomonadati; Pseudomonadota
Description: Proteobacteria bacterium partial 16S ribosomal RNA
Rfam family: Bacterial small subunit ribosomal RNA
Source: RNAcentral